AUUCAGAGAAAAAAAAAUGGACGGAAAAUUGUGCCAAUAGUGAUCGCGAAUGACCGGAAAAAAUUUUUUUUCUCAAUUUUGAUCGACCAAAAACGUCUCUACGACCGAAAAGUGAUAUGUGUGAUCACGUAAAAGUGACUGUCAGUGAUACGAGAGAGCGAAUGGCACAAACUCACUUCAAGAAAUAAGUGUCCGGUCUCCAUAUUCUUUCGAGC
Molecule: long non-coding RNA, 215 nt
Organism: Venturia canescens
Lineage: Eukaryota; Metazoa; Arthropoda; Insecta; Hymenoptera; Ichneumonidae
Exons: 3
Source: RefSeq, a predicted model, not a curated record